AUUGAACGCUGGCGGCAUGCCUUACACAUGCAAGUCGAACGGCAGCACGGGGGCAACCCUGGUGGCGAGUGGCGAACGGGUGAGUAAUAUAUCGGAACGUACCCUGGAGUGGGGGAUAACGUAGCGAAAGUUACGCUAAUACCGCAUACGAUCUAAGGAUGAAAGUGGGGGAUCGCAAGACCUCAUGCUCCUGGAGCGGCCGAUAUCUGAUUAGCUAGUUGGUGGGGUAAAGGCCUACCAAGGCAUCGAUCAGUAGCUGGUCUGAGAGGACGACCAG
Molecule: ribosomal RNA, 277 nt
Filed under: uncultured bacterium
Lineage: Bacteria
Description: partial 16S ribosomal RNA
Rfam family: Bacterial small subunit ribosomal RNA
Source: RNAcentral